ACCAUUCAUUAUGGCACCGCUGCCAGUGUGACACUGCUGCCACCGAGUCGGGGGCAGAGGAGGAGGCUGGGUCCUGGCCCAGGUUCAGGGGGGCGUGGCCGGUGUGUUCAGCUUCAUGGCAGCUGCCUCCUGGGCCUUCUGAAGCUUGUAUUUCUGGAUCUUCCGCUGGCGGUUAUAGAGGUAAGCGGCUACACUCACAGUUCCUAAGAUGACAAUGGUUGUCACCAGGAUGAUGAUAAGAAUGUUGUUCUGGUGGUCUGUAGGGAAGACACAGAGGGUUGAGCUGGGCUCACUAACCCCUGCUCCGCCCAGCCCCAAACACCUGCACACUCACAGAUCACGUUGAUGACCACUUCUCGGGUGAUCUCACCACGGGGGCUCCGGGCCUGACACAGGUAAGUGCCAGCAACCUCCCGCUUGACAGGUCUCAGGUCCCCGAUGGGGAGCAAAGCAUCAUCCCCCUUCCGGUGACAUUUCAGCUCAGGAACCGGGUUCCCCCAAGCUUGGCACUUCAGGGUCUGAUGGGAGCCUUCCUCCCACGUCCAGUUUCCCGGACAAUCCCUCUGGUCUAGUCGGGGACCAUCUAAAGAAAUACAGCAAGAUAAAGGAUGGGUGAGGGACCAGGACACCCUUUGCCACCUACAGCUGGAGGACUCAGGAAUCCAGGGAGAGGGCUGGGGGGGCCCUCAGAGGGCAGGAGCUCAUGGAGUCUUAGGGUAACCCCUAAGGAUCAUUGUCCAGUGGCCUCACUCACACAGGACGUGGAGCUCCCGGGUCUGGUUCUUUUGCAGCAUGUGCCCAGCCACCUCCAGGGCAGCAGAGCAGGAGAAGCUGCGCCUGUUGUCGGCAGCGCUGGCAUUUAGUUGGAACUGUGCCCUGGGUACUGCAAGCCCCGAAGGGAGCCCGCUCAGCGACAUCACGACUCCAGCAGGGGCCUCACACUCCACAGUCACCGUAGUCCAUUCUGAGACCUCUGGCUCACUCAGGGUCAGGUUGGGUGCCGGGAAGCCUGGGGACAGGCAUACAGUGAGCACGACCCCUAGGACUGGUCCCACCCCGUGGAAGCCCCGCCCUGUCUGUCUUUACUUACUAUAGAAGGUCACAUUCUCCUGCCACCUCCGAUUCUCGUCUCCCAGUGUCACCUCACACCAUAGCUGCUGGGUACCCUCGUCUUCUGGGUUUGCUUUGACAUUUGCCGUGGCCAAGAGGGAGUCCUUUUUGUACAGGACUGUGGAGUGCAGCCUCUCUUCUGCUAACGCCAGGUGGACUUGGGCCUCCGAAGCUGGGAACACCCCAUCCAGAGUGCAGUCCACAGACCACUGUGUGCCCACUUCCACAAUCGGGGGGGUAGCAAGGCGUGGGGGGGUCUCUGGCAGGACUGGAGAGAGAGGGUGGGUAUGAACACAGGGGACAGGCAAGCUGAAGCCCUUUUCUGGGACAUCCUCUUGCCAGAAGACUCUGGCCUGGGUCACCCCUAUCCUGGCACACAUGCUGGUUCCAGCCUUCUCAGAAGAUCCUGCAGCUGGGGCACCCCAUCCCAGACCACCCCACCCCAGUGGCCAAGUAUAUGCUCUUCCCAGAAGGCUUUGUAAUCUAGGUCACCACCUUGGCGCCCCCACGACCAGAGGCCUCUCUCCCCCACACCCCAAGCAGGAACAUCCCCUGAGCCCAUCCUUGCUGGCAGCUCCCCAGGGCCUCACCAAAGGUUUGGAGCUGCCUGGGCGCCGAGCUGUUCUGGAACAAUCCCAACCCUCGGUGCCUCAGGUCCAGGUCCGUGCGGCACGAGAAGUUGGCGAGGUGGUCCUCUCUGCCCACCGCCACCGUGAACGUGACCUCGGCGGGCUCCCCGACGGCCGGUUGCCGGCUCAGCUCCUCCUCCCCGCGGAGCAGCACCACCGCGAGCAUCUGAGAGUGAGAAGUGGAAAAGAAACUCAAAAUCUAUGGCCAGGAGUCCCGACAAAUAAAUCAGAAAAUGAGGCCUGUCAGCCCAGGAGGGUGGGGGUCUUUGCUUUGCAGAGCAGCUCUCUACAUUUACAGAAAGAAUAAGUCUGACCUGCCCACACAGAUUCGAGGCCUUUCAGAAGCCCCCUUUAAAGGGAAAGAAGGGGCAGCUCGGUGGCUCAGCGGUUUAGUGCUGCUUUCAGCCCAGGGUGUGAUCCUGGGGACCCGGGAUCGAGUUCCGCGUCGGGCUCCCUGCAUGGAGCCUGCUUCCCCCUCUACCUGUGUCUCUGCCUCUCUCUCUCUCUGUGUCUCUCAUGAAUGAAUAAAUAACAUCUUAAAAAAUAUAAAGGGAAAGAAGUUCCUGAAUGUGCCAUGUGAACCCUGGAAAUGUCAAAAAAAAAAAAAAAAAAAA
Canis lupus familiaris (dog) is the source of this 2353-nucleotide long non-coding RNA. RefSeq lists it as uncharacterized. NCBI's taxonomy places the organism in Eukaryota, Metazoa, Chordata, Mammalia, Carnivora, Canidae. The record is from RefSeq and is a predicted model, not a curated record. The transcript is spliced from 3 exons.